AUGGCUGCUAGGGUGGUGCUAGAUGAGUUGAAGGUGCGGCGGGGCACGCCAUCGUUGGUGGCGCCGGCGCGGGCGACGCCACGGGAGAGCGUGGCGUUGUCGGACAUCGACAACCAGCCAGUCAUGUGGUUCUACAGCACCGUGAUCCACCUGUACCGAGGUGACCCAUCCAAGGGACUCGUCGACCCAGCGGUGGCCAUGCGCGCUGCGCUGGCGGAGGCGCUGGUGCACUACUACCCGCUGGCCGGUCGGCUGCGCGAGGAGGCCGGCCGGAGGCUGGUUGUGGACUGCGCUGGGCAGGGCGUCAUGUUCUUGGAGGCGGACGCGGACAUCGCCAUCGAUGAUCUCGGCGACGUGCGGUACCCGCCGUUCCCGCGCUCCGAGGAGUUCAUCUACGAC
RNAcentral lists this ribosomal RNA (399 nucleotides) under Triticum aestivum (bread wheat). RNAcentral describes it as "partial small subunit ribosomal RNA". The record is from RNAcentral. Lineage: Eukaryota; Viridiplantae; Streptophyta; Magnoliopsida; Poales; Poaceae.